GAUGAACGCUGGCGGCGUGCCUAAUACAUGCAAGUCGAGCGGUAAGGCCACUUCGGUGGUACACGAGCGGCGGACGGCUGAGUAACACGUAGGAACGUACCCCAAACUGAGGGAUAACUGCUCGAAAGAGUAGCUAAUACCGCAUGUGCUCUAAGGAAUAAAGCUACGGCGGUUUGGGAACGGCCUGCGCAUGAUUAGCUUGUUGGUGAGGUAAUGGCUCACCAAGGCGACGAUCAUUAGCUGGUCUGAGAGGAUGAUCAGCCAGACCGGGACUGAGACACGGCCCAGACUCCUACGGGAGGCAGCAGUAGGGAAUCUUCCGCAAUGGACGCAAGUCUGACGGAGCAACGCCGCGUGAGUGACGAAGGUUUUCGGAUCGUAAAACUCUGUUGUGAGGGAAGAACACGUACCAACUAACUAUUGGUACCUUGACGGUACCUCACCAGAAAGCCACGGCUAACUA
RNAcentral lists this ribosomal RNA (463 nucleotides) under uncultured bacterium. RNAcentral describes it as "partial 16S ribosomal RNA". It matches the Rfam family "Bacterial small subunit ribosomal RNA", at positions 28 to 503 of the family's 1533-position model. The record is from RNAcentral.